RNAcentral lists this ribosomal RNA (773 nucleotides) under uncultured bacterium. RNAcentral describes it as "bacterial SSU rRNA". It matches the Rfam family "Bacterial small subunit ribosomal RNA", at positions 8 to 794 of the family's 1533-position model. The record is from RNAcentral.
AGAGUUUGAUCAUGGCUCAGGACGAACGCUGGCGGCGCGCCUAACACAUGCAAGUCGAACGAGAGAUGAGGAGCUUGCUCUUCAAAUCGAGUGGCGAACGGGUGAGUAACGCGUGAGGAACCUGCCUCAAAGAGGGGGACAACAGUUGGAAACGACUGCUAAUACCGCAUAAGCCCACGGCUCGGCAUCGAGCAGGGGGAAAAGGAGCAAUCCGCUUUGAGAUGGCCUCGCGUCCGAUUAGCUAGUUGGUGAGGUAAUGGCCCACCAAGGCGACGAUCGGUAGCCGGACUGAGAGGUUGAACGGCCACAUUGGGACUGAGACACGGCCCAGACUCCUACGGGAGGCAGCAGUGGGGAAUAUUGCACAAUGGGGGAAACCCUGAUGCAGCGACGCCGCGUGGAGGAAGAAGGUCUUCGGAUUGUAAACUCCUGUUGUUGAGGAAGGUAAUGACGGUACUCAACAAGGAAGUGACGGCUAACUACGUGCCAGCAGCCGCGGUAAAACGUAGGUCACAAGCGUUGUCCGGAAUUACUGGGUGUAACGGGAGCGCAGGCGGGAGAACAAGUUGGAAGUGAAAUCCAUGGGCUCAACCCAUGAACUGCUUUCAAAACUGUUUUUCUUGAGUAGUGCAGAGGUAGGCGGAAUUCCCGGUGUAGCGGUGGAAUGCGUAGAUAUCGGGAGGAACACCAGUGGCGAAGGCGGCCUACUGGGCACCAACUGACGCUGAGGCUCGAAAGUGUGGGUAGCAAACAGGAUUAGAUACCCUGGUAGU